This 984-nucleotide long non-coding RNA is filed under the name Lynx pardinus (Iberian lynx). Lineage: Eukaryota; Metazoa; Chordata; Mammalia; Carnivora; Felidae. The record is from RNAcentral.
GCAGGAAACUCCGGCCGAGAAGCGCCCCGUGCCGUGGGAGCAGUGCACCGGCCCGUGCCGCGAGCACUGCUGCAGGGCAAGCUCUGUGCCUGAGCAGCGCACGCCACUCAUCACCACCUCUCCGGCCCCCGGCGUCCCCUGCCAGUACCAGGUGUCCUGAGAAAACAGCCAGCAGCCCCUGGUUCAGGCCGAGGGGUGCUUUGGAAGCCUCUCCUCUGAUGCUCGUGCUCUAGAGCCCUGUCGGACCACCCCUGCCCAGCUGUGUCCGGCCUCGGCUCAGAAGUCUUCAGGGAUGGGACGCUCCCUGCUACUGUGCGCCCCUCCAAGAGCAGAAGUUUCUUCCGUUGCACUGAGGCAGGAAGAUUCUUCCGCCACUGGCCUUGCCCCCACCCUGUUCCACAGGGCUGCCCUUAGCUAUUGGAGAGGGGGCCCUGUCCCCUGUCCCACUCAGGUGGCCUGCCCCGUUUCUCCAACUGUGCCUCGUGUCGCCCUGGGCGGACGGCUGUGGGUAGGGUUGGCCCCAGUUCUCUAAGUGAGGAAUACCCGGCAGCCCCACCGGCCAGGCGUGCCCAAUGGAGGACGAGGUAGCAUCGCAGCCGCGCCCCGGCCUCGUGAUUUUCUUUCCUUGGUGCCUCUCGAAUCUCUCUGAAUUUCCCCCAGGACGGCCACUAGCCUGGGCCACACCAGUGUGACUUCUCGUCUGGGCAAUUGCCAUGUUAGGUUUCCUGUAUCCAUGCUGAUCUCCACCCCAACAGUGUGCCACACAGCACAGAAGAGAUUUUCGAGAAACGUGCACUGCAGACUUCACGGUUUGCCUGCCACCUCCCUCACAUACCACACCACUGGCCCUUGAUAGCCCCACUCCGGCCCUGGUCCCUGAUUUCCCCAAUGGGGGCAAGCCUCCAUGGGCCACAGGGUCUCUGCGUGGGCUGUUUAUCCCCACCCCACCUUCUCCCGGUAACUUCCAGUCAUCUUUCCUACAGA